This 245-nucleotide ribosomal RNA is filed under the name uncultured Oscillospiraceae bacterium. Its description in RNAcentral is "partial 16S ribosomal RNA". It matches the Rfam family "Bacterial small subunit ribosomal RNA", at positions 524 to 768 of the family's 1533-position model. The record is from RNAcentral. Lineage: Bacteria; Bacillati; Bacillota; Clostridia; Eubacteriales; Oscillospiraceae.
UACGUAGGUGGCAAGCGUUGUCCGGAAUUACUGGGUGUAAAGGGAGCGCAGGCGGGGAAGCAAGUCAGACGUGAAAACUAUGGGCUUAACCCAUAACGUGCGUUUGAAACUGUUUUUCUUGAGUGAAGUAGAGGCAGGCGGAAUUCCGAGUGUAGCGGUGAAAUGCGUAGAUAUUCGGAGGAACACCAGUGGCGAAGGCGGCCUGCUGGGCUUUUACUGACGCUGAGGCUCGAAAGUGUGGGGAG